RNAcentral lists this ribosomal RNA (464 nucleotides) under Sishanaspis sp. ud4977. Its description in RNAcentral is "partial 28S ribosomal RNA". The record is from RNAcentral. Lineage: Eukaryota; Metazoa; Arthropoda; Insecta; Hemiptera; Diaspididae.
AACGGUGUCCGAUGUCGUCGUSUCGUACGCGCGUGCAUCGNUNCCGGUCAGCGACGAAUUCUUCGGGCCUCUUUYCGACCCGUCUUGAAACRCGGACCAAGGAGUNUAACAUGCGCGCGAGUCGCGGGGUGUCGAGCGUACCACGCGUACGUUCGUUACGUUACGAAACCCGUACAUAUNGAAGGCGUAAUGAAAGUAAAUGGRGAAGAUGGUGUGCCGAGUACACGUUCCGCGGUCAUCGGUACCGCGGCCGGCCACCCGCACUCCCAGGGCGUCUCAACGGCCCGUCGCGGAUGCGGACUGUCGUCUCUCGGGGCGGCUGUCGGUCUGCGACGAACCGAGGCGCACCUAUAGCGUGCACGUUGGUACCCGAAAGAUGGUGAACUAUGCCUGGCCAGGAUGAAGUCAGGGGAAACCCUGAUGGAGGUCCGCAGCGAUUCUGACGUGCAAAUCGAUCGUCUGAG